GUACCGGAGAGCUCCUCCGGCAACAAUACCAUGUCCACUUGGUAAACCGCCAAAGGAAAUUGCUGUCUCAGUGCAUUGUUGAUCUGCGUCUCCACGAUCCCAGUAGACACGUUCACUUGGUUGCCUUGGCCUGUGAAGUUGAGCCCGAAAACGCCACCGUCUUGGCCGGUAGCCUGGGUCCUAACAGGGUUGCUAACCAAUAGCAGAUCGCUCAAGGAGUAGAACUUGGGUAAUACGUGAUAAAGCACGAGCUGCACUUUCUUUUGAGUGUCGAGGUUGUUUAUGGUGCCGGCUUUGAGGUUGCGAAAGGCAUUGUCGGUUGGGGCGAAGACGGUCAUUCCCUCGGUGGAGCUGUUGAGUUGGUUUCGGAUUUGGGAGUCGACUUGGGUGGUGUUGAGGAGCAUAAUGAAGGUGGUGAACUGGCCGGCUUUUUCAAGGAUUCCGGU
RNAcentral lists this long non-coding RNA (446 nucleotides) under Carica papaya (papaya). Its description in RNAcentral is "long non-coding RNA (CPAP_LNC005102)". Lineage: Eukaryota; Viridiplantae; Streptophyta; Magnoliopsida; Brassicales; Caricaceae. The record is from RNAcentral.